RNAcentral lists this transfer RNA (73 nucleotides) under Perca fluviatilis (European perch). It matches the Rfam family "tRNA". From Rfam's summary of the family: Transfer RNA (tRNA) molecules are approximately 80 nucleotides in length. Their secondary structure includes four short double-helical elements and three loops (D, anti-codon, and T loops). Further hydrogen bonds mediate the characteristic L-shaped molecular structure. tRNAs have two regions of fundamental functional importance: the anti-codon, which is responsible for specific mRNA codon recognition, and the 3' end, to which the tRNAs corresponding amino acid is attached (by aminoacyl-tRNA synthetases). tRNAs cope with the degeneracy of the genetic code in two manners: having more than one tRNA (with a specific anti-codon) for a particular amino acid; and 'wobble' base-pairing, i.e. permitting non-standard base-pairing at the 3rd anti-codon position. Lineage: Eukaryota; Metazoa; Chordata; Actinopteri; Perciformes; Percidae. The record is from Rfam by way of RNAcentral.
GGGGAAUUAGCUCAAAUUGUAGAGCACUUGCUUAGCAUGCAACAGGUAGCGGGAUCGAUUCCCGCAUUCUCCA